CUGGAUCUGGCCGCCGGUGCUGGGCUGCUGGCUGCUGGCCAGCAGGUUGCUGCCCGUCGCGUUCGAGCUGCCGGACCCGCC
This 81-nucleotide transfer RNA is filed under the name Paracidovorax wautersii. Its description in RNAcentral is "Acidovorax wautersii (egg metagenome) tRNA-Ser". Lineage: Bacteria; Pseudomonadati; Pseudomonadota; Betaproteobacteria; Burkholderiales; Comamonadaceae. The record is from RNAcentral.